AUUGCUGUUUAUUGGAGUGGUGCAGUAUUUCUAGUCAAUCUACCUAUCUUGAAGACGGGCCUAAAAAUCCGUCAAAGGGCACAUCGAUGAAGUUCUUGGUGUUGGCUUCUGACGCCCAGUCGGGGGUCGAUGCUGGGAGUUAAGGUUGAAGGGCGAUCCACAAUGGCAUGUGGGCGUAGACCCUUCUUCCGCGGAGGCCCAAGUUCGUAGUAAGGAGGUUCCUACCAAAUUAUUAUGGCUUGGGGUAUGAACCUGCAAUGCGAGGUUUCACUUGUAUGCAGCGUAGCCUGCCUUGAGUGAUAUAGUGUGGGAUUAUAGGCUAACAAUAAAUCAUCUUCGGCCAAGAUGAUUUAUUCGUUCUAUAUGAAAUCUAUAUUGCAAAAGAGGCUAGGGAUAGGUUAAAGGUUGUUGAGGAAAACUCCUAGACUGCUCAUAAUGAGGCUCUUUGAGGAUUGUAGUGUGGACUAAGUGGUAAUCUAGUCCAAUGUUUGGUGACAACAUUGAGGAGAGCGUAAAGGGAAACCGCCUUUUUGGCGACGAAAAGGUGUCUCUCUUGGGAAAACCUACUGGACCUAAGCCACAGUGUUUACUCAAAGAGUUACCACUCCAAUAUUGGCUUAA
This 621-nucleotide small RNA is filed under the name Tepidibacillus decaturensis. The record is from RNAcentral. Lineage: Bacteria; Bacillati; Bacillota; Bacilli; Caryophanales; Bacillaceae.